This 383-nucleotide ribosomal RNA is filed under the name uncultured eukaryote. RNAcentral describes it as "partial 18S ribosomal RNA". It matches the Rfam family "Eukaryotic small subunit ribosomal RNA", at positions 592 to 976 of the family's 1831-position model. The record is from RNAcentral.
CAAUAGCGUAUAUUAAAGUUGUUGCAGUUAAAAAGCUCGUAGUUGGAUUUCUGGUGGGAGCGAUCGGUCUGGCGCUUAGCGCGAGUACUUGCAUCGUCUCCGGCCAUCCUUGGGGAGAGUCUGUCUGGCAUUAAGUUGUCGGGCAGAGGAUCCUCAUCGUUUACUGUGAAAAAAUUAGAGUGUUCAAAGCAGGCUUAUGCCGUUGAAUAUAUUAGCAUGGAAUAAUAAGAUAGGACUUUGGUACUAUUUUGUUGGUUUGCGCACCAAAGUAAUGAUUAAUAGGGACAGUUGGGGGUAUUAGUAUUCCGUUGUCAGAGGUGAAAUUCUUGGAUUUACGGAAGACGAACUACUGCGAAAGCAUUUACCAAGGAUGUUUUCAUUAA